Strigops habroptila (Kakapo) is the source of this 870-nucleotide long non-coding RNA. RefSeq lists it as uncharacterized. The transcript is spliced from 2 exons. Lineage: Eukaryota; Metazoa; Chordata; Aves; Psittaciformes; Psittacidae. The record is from RefSeq and is a predicted model, not a curated record.
UUCAGAUGGUGGUUGUGUGUGAACAUAGAUAGGUCUGCAGUUGCUAUCUCGCCUGCACUUGGCUUGAGUGUGCUGUACCAUGGAUGAAUCAACAGGUCACAUGUGGCAGCAGGCUUGGGGUUUUUUAAAGGCUGAUCUCCAAACUCUGUUAUUCCUUCAAAACAGGUGAAGAAAGAACUGCUAAGUGGUCAGCUGGUGACUUUGGGGCCAGCUGUGGCUUCUGUAUUGGCAUUGCCUUGAGGAAUGGGCUGUGCUAAUGGGAAGGCAUCUCUGUGGGAGAACUCGAGCUCCAGUGGAAACAGGUCACUAUGGAACACAGCAACAUACACACACCAAAUUAAGUAGUCGGAGUCCCCUGCCUAUGAUCUAGUCUCCAAAGUAUGUCAUACACAUCUUCUGGCUCUUGGCUGCAAGCUGUUGCCAUGACCUGUGGAAGGUUGCUAAGCUGCACGCUGUUUACACACUCGCUCUAGGCUGCAAUCCCUAUUUCCAGGGGUUUCUUUGUGGCUGGAUGAAAAUAGUGUUUGUUCCUCAGCUAGGAUUAUUUGUGUGUCAGGUAAGUGAAUUCAGUGAAGCUUGCCAAAGCUCUUAAAAGAGAAACAAGAAAGGUACGACUGAAAAAACGGUAAAGACAUGAAACCAGGAAGAUGAGGGGGCAGCAACAAUGCACUAGAUUGAUACAGUGAUAGAGCAAAAUAUUCAUACAAGGAAAUAAAAUACUUCUGAAAUAUUGUUGGUCAUACAUAAAACACUUGCAAGAAGUAGUCUCUGUAAUGAAAACUAAAGAGUAUCUUUUUCUUAUAGUGGUGACAGGAGUAUAACAUACAAGAACUUCCAAUCAACCAAGAAUUUGCUGGGGGUCCAAAGAAC